This is a non-coding RNA of Microcebus murinus (gray mouse lemur), 3028 nucleotides long. The record is from RefSeq and is a predicted model, not a curated record. Lineage: Eukaryota; Metazoa; Chordata; Mammalia; Primates; Cheirogaleidae.
GAUACUUGUGAGCAUUAAGUAAAGUAAUGCUUGUAAAAUAACUCAGCACAGUGUCUGGCCACAGGAAAUAUUUACUAAAUCAUAGUUAUGAUUAUUCUAGGGGAGUACCUAAGAUACUGGUCUUGGGAGCCAGACACUGAGAGUUGAGCCCCACCUCCACUUCUUCCUAACUCUGUGAUGUCAGACUAGUUACCUAACCUAUUUGUGUUUGUUUUUUAAUCUGUCUCUAUGCUGAGAAUAAUAAUCACAUCUACCUCAUAGAAUUAUAAAGGUUAUUAUGACAAUUGAAUUAAGUAAAUGUAAAGCACCCCAAAUAGUGUCUAGCACAUAGUAAGUGCUCAUUAAGUGUUGGUUAUUAUUAUUAUCAUCUGAGGUUCUCAUGGAGAUAUUUAUACAAUCACAAGGUGAAUCUAGAUUAUAAACUCCUGAGGAUGGGAACCAUGUAUUUUCCUAUGGUAUUCCCUGACGCUUUUAGCCCAAUCUCUGGCUCCCUGUAAUUACUCAAUAAAUAAUAGAGUGAUGGUGGUGAUUGGGAGGGUUGUUAAUUAGCUGUAAUCUCGAGACAUAUGGGGGUAUCAUUCAUCUAGAAUCCCAAAAUAGACUGUAUAUUGACUAUGUACCUCGGGGCCUGACUAUGAGCCCUUUAUUAAUCACCCACUGACAGGAAACUGACAGAGACUAUGAGUUAUCGGUCAUUUCACUUGUUAUAUUCCUGGAACAAUCUGGCCAACCCCCCAGGGUAUUACCUAGUGAUCUACCACUGUGGGUAGCAGACCCUGAACACUCUGAGCUGGAGUUCAUCUUAAGAUUUAAUUGGAAUGGACCUUGGGCUUCUUGACUGAACCCAAAGGGGAACAGUUGAACAGUAACUUGGCAGACUACAUUCAUCUUCCUGUGACAGAUCCUUCAUUGGCAGAAGCCAUUGGUGACAUUAAGCAGAGUGUCCCAUAAAUUCAACCUUCCAUUUCUGCACAUCAGAUAUGUGCGUAGAUAACUUUCUGGGAAACACCUCAUCAGAUAUACUUCAUCUUCUCUUUCCCAAAACUCUUUGGAAUUAGGCCCCAUGUUGAAAGCAUUUUCAUGGACCAUAUUUCGGGUUGCCCCCCCCACCCCCGACAACAUACUGUCCGCCCCCAAUCCCUCCAUUUCAGCCACUCCUAAAGCUUAGAGAAAUGGUCCCUGAACAUUGGGAGCUCCCAAUGGGAAAACGCUUCAUCUCUUUAGCACAGCAGCAUAGCUCCUGAUCCAGGAGGUUAUUUAUAAUCCUCAGCACAGUGGAAAUACCUGAAACUCAGGACAGCAAUUGAUUUAGGUGAUUUGGGAGACGAGGCGAGGCAUGCAGCGGGCUCUGAGGUGACUGAUCAAGUGUCCUCUCUAGAACAUCUUGUGCCUUCUCACCUCCAAAUUACAAAUGCUAGUUCUGAGGUUAUGCAUAUGAAAGGAUAUUUACUUGAAGAACAGGAAUAUAUUCAUUGUUAUUUCAUUGUUAUUAAAAAGAAGCUUUAUUCUGACUUAAUAAUAGCAACAGAGGGGUAGGAGGAGAAAUAUUGUGCAGAUAACCUAUUGCUUUCCUUUUAUUUUAUUGACGUUUGCCAUUUCAUUAAGAAACACAAUUUUAACUGUAUUGAUAUUCUAGCCAAAGCUAUCUGAAUUUACAGGCAUUUUAGACUGUGUCUAGAGAUGAAUGUGUACUUGCUUUAACAAAAUACUGUGUAGAAAGGCAAUGUUUUCUAGCUGACACACUUCCUGAUGGAAUAAGUCACCGGUUGUUUAAGGAUCUGCCUGAGUGUGGGACCAGGGGUCAAUGGCUGCUAGUUAUGAUUCGUCACUCAUGGUAAUGUGGUGCUGCCAUAGAUACCAUUCAUUAAGAUAGCCCUUUUUUGAAAAUAGGCCUUAAUCAGGCAAUCACACAAAUAUAUAAACAGGACUGUUUGUUCCAUAGAAAGAAAUAAGUUGCAAUAGGAACACCAGAUCCUGUGUGGCUUUUAACCAGAGCUCUGAAAAGCAAGUUUGUUAAUGAGUGCUGAGCAAAUCAAAGAAGUGAGGAAGAAGAGACUUCCGGCAGGAAAGCGUGUCAGCAGGCCAUCAGACGGGAAGAAGCAAAGUGUGAUUUCAAGGAACUGGAAGAAUCCCUGUACACUGGUGUGUGGAAACCAAGGCAUUACAUGAACUGGAAGAGGCUGGAGAGUUUUAUUGAGGUACAAUUGAUUUACAACGGACAGCCAAUGUCUAAUGUGUACAAUUUGAGGAGUUUGAACGUACGCAAACACCUGUGAUACCAUCACCACAAUCAAGUUAUUGAGGAGUUACUGUGUGCUAAGCUGCUAAACUGUCUGCAGUCCACUGGAGAAACUAGGAUGAAAGAAAAGGAAAAGACACAACAUAUUCAUUUAAGGAAAAGAAGGAAAUGGGAGUUAUUCAUGUAUCUCAUGCUCAGGACCUGGCACAGUGUUCUCCUUUCUGCUGUGUAGGUGCUCAAUGGAUACUUGUUGACUAUAAAAUCAUUAUCAUGGAAAUAGAAAAUCAUUGUUGGUUCAGAAUUGUGGGAGCUUGCCUGGAGAAUGGAAAACAUUAGGGAAGAAUAAAAGGUCACCAGCUGUUCAAGUUUGGGAAGUGAGUGUCUGGUUCGUCUGCUUCAUUCCACUUUUCCUAGGACCUAGCAUAUUACUUAGCACAGGGAAGGUGCUCACAUUUGCUGAAAGGAUUGAAAUGCUGAUGAACUACAGCAGCAAGUAUACCCGAGACAGAGACUCUCUCAUGAAGUUUAGGGGCAGGGAAUGCAUGGCCUCUCCAAUCAAAGCAAUAGCACCUGGUAGGAAUUACUGCUGCUGAAGCUGAUAGAGGCCAAAGACUGUCCUCAGGAGGAAAAUGGAAUAGGCAGUGUUUCAUCCUGGAUGAGUGUGCAUCUUGGAUUAAGGCCUUCGAGUCCCCUACAAAUAUUGAGCAAUUCCAUCUUUUGUUCUUAGAAAGACAAAUCCUAAGUAGCACUAUUAUUAAUAAAUAGAACAAUGUUAAUUUGUGGUCUACU